RNAcentral lists this long non-coding RNA (2443 nucleotides) under Homo sapiens (human). Its description in RNAcentral is "HSALNT0158021". The record is from RNAcentral. Lineage: Eukaryota; Metazoa; Chordata; Mammalia; Primates; Hominidae.
CAUCAGUCACCCCAAAGCCUGACUCAUCUCAAACACCUUGAUUUUCUCUACUGUAUACCCCACACCUCACCAUGAAUGGAGAGUUGCUGUGGUUGAUUUCACUCCUGAGUUACCAUUUCUACAGAUUUCACCAACAAGAACAUGAGUGAUUGUUUCAGUAUUGACCUAAACUUUGACUCUUGGGGUUGAGACAGUUUUCUCAAUGAACUGAGUUUGAACCCUGGUGGCAAGGUGGGUGCCAGGUGGUGUUGAUGGUAGGACAACCCAGAGCUGUGAUGACUCCCCAAGAGCACGGCCUAUGAAACCUCAUGGACUUGGCAUGUUGUUGAUGGAACAUCCAAAGCAUUGCAUGAGAUUCUCAACCAUAAGGGAUGGUCAAAAUUAGUGUCACAUAAGAAGGUACAAUCAAUUUUCACAGUCACUUCACUUUUAAGGAGGUAGAGUCAGAUGUCCUGGAAAAUAAGAGAAAACUAAGAGAAAAUGAAAAUGAAAGCCAAAAUGGAUCUCUUUGUGAAAUAUGUUCAGAGCAUUAGAGAGUAGAGUAAAAUGGUAAUUCACAGAACUCCUCACCCAUGAAAUGAAUAUCUUGUGAGCAGGUUAGUCUUUUUCCAUCUAUUGAGUCAGAAUCUGGGUGAGUCACACACUUCAGGUGACAGAUGCCAAAACACCCUCAAAAUUAACCAAAGGGUGCUGCUUAGCCUUGCAAAGCAAAUACAAAUAUUCAAACAAACAUCUCUCCAAAAGGCACCUCUCCACUUUCCGCUAACUAACCGUCUGUGCUAUGUCUUUACCUAGAGCCCCGUGCUUGGGAUGGGAACAGACGUGUUCCUGCGCAGCCCUAUUAUUUUCUUGUCAGAAGCCUGAUUAGAGUGAUGGAGAGGUUUAUAAUGUGUCCUGUUUUCCCCUGUAAAAAACACAUUUCUCCUAAAGCCAUUUAAUAUUUCAUUGCCAGAAUAUCCAGUGAUAUAAAAAUUCUGAAACCCUUUAUUUUCUGUUGUAUAGGUAAGAAAAAGAAAACAUCAAUUUACAGUUUACAUGUAAAUCCCACAGAUAGCACUUAAAAUCAAGUAGUAGAUAACAUAACCUGGCAGCCAUCAUAAUGCUCAGCAUUUUAUAAUUCAAAAAACAUAACAAUCAGGUUAAACAAAUAGUAUUUUUUAUUAAAUGUCACUCAAUCCCAGGGCUGAGAAUUCAUUUGUGUUUUCCUCCUAGACUCAAUCACCACAAUUGCAAUCAAAAGACGGCUUUAGUUGGAACCUGGAACGUGCUAAUCCUGUCAGGCAGCCUGUGAUUCUGGAAGUGAAGGAACAAAAAAAAAAAAAAAAAGGGAAAAUUUCACAUAAAAUUUCCAUAUGAGGAAGAAGAUGGAAACUUUUGUGUUGUGCGUUCAGUAAAACGGGCACUUUCUUAAGCAGGUGGCAAAGAAAGCCUGAGAAUCCGGCCUGACUUUUUCAUUUCAGAACCCUGCAUUUCCCACACAGAGGAGAUAGAGCACAGCCAUUGCAUGGUAGAUCCAGCUUGCUCUCACAGCCAUUGUGCAAAUAAACAUACAUGUGGCAAGGCAGUGCAGUUUUCAGUUGUUAAAAGUUCUGUCAUGCCACGAGAUGGAGCAAAGGAUAAACGCUGAUGUAAACAGGCAACAGGACUCUGACUCCACACCCCUGUCUGCACGGAGGAUGCUCAGUCCUUACACAACAAAAUGUGAGAUGCUUCCAGUCACCUCCUGGCCCUGACCCCUGAGCUCCGUGCUCACCCCACUGGAGGUCCUGGCAGUUCUCCGAGCAGGCUGUACCUGUCUGGGGUGAUCCUCUCCACUUAAUGUUAGACAUUAAGUUCCCUGUGAAAUCUGUUUUGACUCACUGAGGUUAUGAAUAUUUUAUCACAACUAUCAUCAUAUACUACCAAAUCUCCAAUUUUCUUAUCUCCAUUACUAGACUGUGAGCUCCCUGGAGGCUGGACCUGGGUUUGGCACCGAGUGGCACUCAUACAUACUUCUUGAAUAAGAGAAUUGGUGGCUUUAAAACAUGUCUACAAAUGCCUUGACCGUCUUUCCAGUGGGAGGCAGAGUCUAACUCCCUGUCCCCCGAAUGUGGGCUGGCCUUUGGGAAGAAAAGAAUAAGGUUGAAGUGAUGCUGCCCAACUUCUAAACCCAGUUCCUAAAAGAAAACAGCAUUAAAACAAUCUGAUAUUAUGGCCGUCAAAAUGCUUAUCCAGGCAUUCUGCAAAAAGUGAAAAUGUCUAUAUACUUGUGGCCAAGAAAGAAAAGAAAACUAUCAGUUUCUGGCUGCUUGAGCAUAAAUCUGAAGUCACUGUGUAUCUAUGUAAACGUAAAAGCAAAAGAGGAGAUGUGUCAGACUCCGUGGCACCAGGCUGAUCACAGAAUAAAGUGAAGAAAUUCCCCCUGCACAGCUGAUGGUGCCUGUUGCUGAGACAAAUACAGAGA